Molecule: ribosomal RNA, 430 nt
Filed under: uncultured fungus
Lineage: Eukaryota; Fungi
Description: eukaryotic LSU rRNA
Rfam family: Eukaryotic large subunit ribosomal RNA
Source: RNAcentral
GACCUCGGAUCAGGUAGGGAUACCCGCUGAACUUAAGCAUAUCAAUAAGCGGAGGAAAAGAAACCAACAGGGAUUGCCUCAGUAACGGCGAGUGAAGCGGCAACAGCUCAAAUUUGAAAUCUGGCCUUCGGGUCCGAGUUGUAAUUUGCGGAGGAUGCUUCGAGCAUGGUCUAGUCUAAGUUCCUUGGAAUAGGACGUCAUAGAGGGUGAGAAUCCCGUAUGCGACUGGGUGCCUAAGCUCAUGUGAAGCUCCUUCGACGAGUCGAGUUGUUUGGGAAUGCAGCUCAAAAUGGGUGGUAAAUUUCAUCUAAAGCUAAAUAUUGGCCAGAGACCGAUAGCGCACAAGUAGAGUGAUCGAAAGAUGAAAAGCACUUUGGAAAGAGAGUUAAAUAGCACGUGAAAUUGUUGAAAGGGAAGCGCUUGCAAUCAG